ACUUAGAUGGAGAUAUAAGGACCAGACGUUGUGUGCGUGCAUUACGGUGUCUGUAACCACACCCCUUCUCCUGUUGAGGUGCUUUCCUGAUUUGCCGGCCCUGUAUUCCUAGCCUUCCCUCUGACGCUCGCCUUCGGUAUGUCCUUGUCCCUGCAUGUUCAGUGAGGAACCGUACUUCGCCGCUGACCUCGUCGUUCCAGUUAUAACUGUUAAGCCUCAUCUGCUUAGCCAGUGAGACUCCGUGACCGUGCUGAAGGGCCUGAUCACAAAGGUGCUGCUGUUUUGU
Clupea harengus (Atlantic herring) is the source of this 286-nucleotide long non-coding RNA. RefSeq lists it as uncharacterized. The record is from RefSeq and is a predicted model, not a curated record. Lineage: Eukaryota; Metazoa; Chordata; Actinopteri; Clupeiformes; Clupeidae.